RNAcentral lists this unclassified non-coding RNA (1261 nucleotides) under Bombus terrestris (buff-tailed bumblebee). Its description in RNAcentral is "misc RNA ENSBTSG00005024346.1". The record is from RNAcentral. Lineage: Eukaryota; Metazoa; Arthropoda; Insecta; Hymenoptera; Apidae.
AUCAACACCUGCAUGUAUCAUCGUCGUCGACGGUGUGUAUUGCCGUCAGAUGUACUGGACGAUCGCAGAUGCUCGCACGAUGCUCGCUUCGUACGACAGUUGCUCGAUGUUGUAUAAGCAUCCGGGACUCGGCCACUGAAUGGGUUUGUCAAGCUUUUAGAGACGAAGUAUCGAGUGGCAAGAUUUACUGUACAUACUGAGAGUUUCGCGAUUAACAUGCAUGCCGAGGAUGACGACAUAUGGUGGUUCCGAUUGCUUAAGUUACGCAAUCUAGUACAACAUAAUAAAGUUGCAAUGAUAUCAUCUGACGUGUUCUACUCACAUUUUGUUGACGAAGCGAGCAAGAGGAAAUUAGAAACACAUCAUCGAGCGGAGUGAAGGUAAUCGUCGAGAACUCGUUUCGUGGAAUACUCGCCACAAUUUCACUUCCAUUUCACCGUGUUCUCGUAACGAAUUGCGUUCCUUGAGAUCUACGUUAUAAAUGUUCCUUUAAUUUUACUUCUCUUAAAAAACUAGUUCAAUAUUUCAAACAUAUAUUUUUGCAAUGAUUAAUAGCAAUUAAAUUGAUCGUAAUACACACAUACACCGUUCUUUGCAAUAAUUUAAUCCCUUUCUAAUUUUGAGUUACAGAAAAUGAUAUAAAAAUGAAAUAUUUCUGUACCUGUGAUAUAUUGGUAUUCUGAGAUGUGAAUCGUACGACGUACGACUGUAAACUAUUCAUUGAUAUUGGCGAUAAUAUACAAUACAUGCAUGCAUCUACGGUUGUGUUAUUAUUGCUUUCACAAAAGACUCGGAGCAGAUAAAUAUAUUCUGCGCCUUAAAACAAUAAUUUGAGACCUCCCCUAUAUCAAUGGAACUUCUAUGUGGAAUUAUAAUUUUAAAUAAUUGAAAACAUGUUUGUAAUUUAAAAUGUUUCAAAUAUUAUUUUUUAAAAUAUAGAAUUGUGUUUAAUACUAAAUAAAUUUUUGCAAAAUAAUUUUAGUAUUACCCAAAUAUAGAAAUAAACUCAUCAUAUCGGGUGACUGCAUAGGGCGGAUUUAAAUCUGAGUCACGAUUAUCUCAAAUAAGGAAUCACACGACUAAUCAUAUGAACACAGUAUCUCUUUUAUCGUCUUAUCUUUUGAUAUAACUCACAAGUACAUUUUUGCAAGAUAAGAAAGCGAAAAAUGUCCACAAGACUUUAUUAUAUUAUGCUGUUUAUUAUAUUGUAACAUAAUACUCUAAUUUUUAUUUCAGUCCAUAAUACAAAUACCAAGGAGUA